UACGUAGGGGGCUAGCGUUGUCCGGAAUCAUUGGGCGUAAAGCGCGUGUAGGCGGUCCGGUAAGUCCGCUGUGAAAGUCGGGGGCUCAACCCUCGAAUGCCGGUGGAUACUGUCGGGCUAGAGUGCGGAAGAGGCGAGUGGAAUUCCUGGUGUAGCGGUGAAAUGCGUAGAUAUCCGGAGGAACACCGGUGGCGAAGGCGGCUUCCUGGACCGACAUUGACGCUGAGGCGCGAAAGCUAGGGGAGCAAACGGG
This 253-nucleotide ribosomal RNA is filed under the name uncultured bacterium. RNAcentral describes it as "partial 16S ribosomal RNA". It matches the Rfam family "Bacterial small subunit ribosomal RNA", at positions 524 to 776 of the family's 1533-position model. The record is from RNAcentral.